UACGUAGGGGGCGAGCGUUGUCCGGAAUCAUUGGGCGUAAAGCGCGUGUAGGCGGCCCGAUAAGUCCGCUGUGAAAGUCCAGGGCUCAACCCUGGGAUGCCGGUGGAUACUGUCGGGCUCGAGUCCGGAAGAGGCGAGUGGAAUUCCUGGUGUAGCGGUGAAAUGCGCAGAUAUCAGGAGGAACACCAAUGGCGAAGGCAGCUCGCUGGGACGUGACUGACGCUGAGACGCGAAAGCGUGGGGAGCAAACAGG
This 253-nucleotide ribosomal RNA is filed under the name uncultured bacterium. RNAcentral describes it as "partial 16S ribosomal RNA". It matches the Rfam family "Bacterial small subunit ribosomal RNA", at positions 524 to 776 of the family's 1533-position model. The record is from RNAcentral.